ACCCCUAUUACCUUAGUCCCUUAUGGGGCUUAUGGCUUUUCCUUUGUCUUAGGUGGUUGAGAGACAGAACAGUUUGACUUGAGCACUAACUUUCUCAUUCUUAGCAAGUUUCCUAUCAGAGGUUUUGUGAUAUUUUCAAAAGAAAGCUUAAAUGUUCCUCUUAUGGUUCUCUCAUGUCACUCAAAUGGUGUAUGAUUCCUCACCAAGGCAUAUGGUAAGAGUUGCCUUCUCUAUUUCAUCCUAUUUCUAAAAGGCUUAUGUGGAGUUCAAGGUAGGGAUGAAAGGAGAUAGCAUACUUACUUUGCAUGUAUUGCGAAGUCAAAGCUCGGAUCCUUGAAGAGAAGUGUCAUACUCCCAGAUCAAGAUGUGCAAGUGUGAUAUAUGGUGGACUAGGUUGCUCCUUUAUUUGAUAGACUCUCUAUGUAUUGAGACAUGGCUAGCAUUUUUUUCUUCUUUUUUUUAUAUAUAUGAGCUUUCAUGUGCUCAAUUUUCUUUUUCUGUGGACUUGCACAUGUCCAUCUUUUUAUUUCAUUUUGCCUAGCCCUUUUGAUGUCUCAUUUACCAAAUAAUGCUUAGAGAGAUGUUCUAACAUUUAGAGUAUGGAGCAACCUAUUUAGUGGAUGCGAAAUACAUGUGGUUGCGUACUUCCAGUGUAGAAGCAGCAUAUAUAUAUGUGGUGUGUACGUGAUCUUGAUCUUAGGAGCAUGAAAAGUCUCUUAACAAGGGUCAACAAGACUUGACGACACUCAACACAAAGCAAAUAGCUUAUGUGGAAAGGUUGCAAUUAUGUAAAGUAGAUAUGGCUGUGGUAGGAAUUCAUCACCAUUGAGGAACAAUUAAGGUUUUGAUCAUUUUAAGAAUAAAUCUCUGAUAAUCAUGCAUGCUUAGAAAAAUAUUAUAGUAGCUCUUGUCUUACUAUCUCAUGUCCCACAAUAACUUAGACUUAGUUCUAGCACUUGCAACCCACAAAGUUUUUAGGUUCAUGGCAGUUUAAGUGAACUAAGUGAUCCAUACUUAGAGAAAUACUAAGUUGUAUACUAGGCACUAGAGAAACAUUAACAAGCAACUAGUCAUAAUUUCCAUGAGGGAUAUAAACAUACAUGAAGCAUAUAUGCUAAAGGGAAAUGCUAAUAAAUAUUUUUUUUUAAGUAAGAAUGAUAAAAUGCAUGAAAAUAAAUAGGAUAGAAUACUUACCUUAGUGGGGGAGAGGAUCUCCCCCAAGCUAGAUCUUCGCUCACUGUGGUGGCGGGAAAUUUUGGUACCAUCCAGCCCAGCGUUGUGCGUCUUCCUCUCGCACACGUCGGAUAUGUUGGCCGUUUUGUAACGCCAGUUGCAAUGUUGCUUCUUGCCCAAUCUGC
RNAcentral lists this long non-coding RNA (1358 nucleotides) under Sorghum bicolor (sorghum). RNAcentral's name for it is "long non-coding RNA (SBIC_LNC005056)". Lineage: Eukaryota; Viridiplantae; Streptophyta; Magnoliopsida; Poales; Poaceae. The record is from RNAcentral.